GACGAACGCUGGCGGCGUGCUUAACACAUGCAAGUCGAACGAUGAACUGGAGCCUGCUCCAGGGAUUAGUGGCGAACGGGUGAGUAACACGUGAGUAACCUGCCCUUGACUCUGGGAUAAGCGCUAGAAAUGGCGUCUAAUACCGGAUACGAGCUUCAGCCGCAUGGCUAGGAGUGGGAAAGAAUUUUGGUCAAGGAUGGACUCGCGGCCUAUCAGCUAGUUGGUGAGGUAAUGGCUCACCAAGGCGACGACGGGUAGCCGGCCUGAGAGGGUGACCGGCCACACUGGGACUGAGACACGGCCCAGACUCCUACGGGAGGCAGCAGUGGGGAAUAUUGCACAAUGGGCGAAAGCCUGAUGCAGCAACGCCGCGUGAGGGAUGACGGCCUUCGGGUUGUAAACCUCUUUUAGUAGGGAAGAAGCGAAAGUGACGGUACCUGCAGGAAAAGCACCGGCUAACUACGUGCCAGCCGCCGCCGUAA
This 482-nucleotide ribosomal RNA is filed under the name uncultured bacterium. RNAcentral describes it as "partial 16S ribosomal RNA". It matches the Rfam family "Bacterial small subunit ribosomal RNA", at positions 28 to 523 of the family's 1533-position model. The record is from RNAcentral.